This 2167-nucleotide ribosomal RNA is filed under the name uncultured Peranema sp. RNAcentral describes it as "partial small subunit ribosomal RNA". It matches the Rfam family "Eukaryotic small subunit ribosomal RNA". Lineage: Eukaryota; Euglenozoa. The record is from RNAcentral.
AAUCUGGUUGAUCCUGCCAGUAGUCAUAUGCUUCUUUCAAGGACUAAGCCAUGCAAGUGUAAGAGUAAUGCCUUAAAGCAUAGGUCUGCGAAUGGCUCAUUACAACAGCAACAAUCCUAUUGACUAAGUGUGGCUUCGCCCGGGGCUACUCCAUGUGUAUAUCUGGCUCAACCGGCUAGUUAAUACGUGUACGAAAGCACUAUCCUCACAACCCUGUGUGGUCGCAAGGCCUCCAGGGGAGGGUGGUGGCUUGUGGAUGACCUUAAAAGUACUGGUGCCCGAAAGGGCAUUGCAUAUAUGUUGAGUCAGUCCAAUGGGUAGCAAUACCAGAGCGGCUCCGGCCAGCUGCAAAGUCAUAGGAACUUCUGCCCUAUCAGCUCUUGAUGGUGAGGUAGUGGCUCACCAUGGCAUUGACGGGUAACAGAGAAUUAGGGUUUGAUUCUGGAGAGGGAGCCUGAKAAAUGGCUACCACUGCUAUGGYAGGCAGCAGGCGCGCAAAUUGCCCAAUACCAAUUCAUUGGUGAGGCAGCGACGAAAAAUAGCAUUUCCGACUUCUCAAGGAGUCAGAGUUUGCCAUGGAUAGUAUGUAAACACAGUAAUGAGUAACAACUGGAGGGCAAGUCUGGUGCCAGCAGCCGCGGUAAUUCCAGCUCCAGUAGCGUAUACUAAUAUUGUUGCUGUUAAAAAGCUCGUAGUUCGAUGCAGAGUUGAGGCUGUAGGACAGCUCCUUAAAUCAAAGUUCAAACAUGAUCGUCAAAUAAUCAGGUUCCGAUACUUUAAAGGAGACUCAACUGUUCUGCAGAAUUUGUCCUCAAACUCUAGGCAGUGGUAUGUCUUGGCCAAGGCUCAUUCAUUUGAGUCCGAGGUGGGAGCACACCAAAGUGAGUGUGUGGUUAGAGGCAAAAGUCCUACUAUGUAGGCUUCCUCCUCCCUCAGAGACAUAACCGCGAAAGUCAUUGUGAACAAAUCAGUGUGAUCAAAGCAGCUGGUCCUUCUGGCUGAAUGCUUCAGCAUGAAAUGACAAGGGAUCGACCAACGGGUAUUACCCAAGAGUUCUGCCAGUGCUUUGUGACCCUGUUUGGGCAAUGUGGGGCGUCCUACGAUACUUGAUCAUACGGGUUUUCGGACUCGAUCCUGUAUCUAGGCGAACCAAACGUUAUCAAUGGGAGCUCUCGAGGUGGUGUGUAUUUCUGCGUUAGAGGUGAAAUUCUUAGACCGUAGAAGGACAUACUGCGGCGAARGCGCUCUUCCAGUCUAGCUCUGUCUAUCAAGAACGAAAGUGUGGGGAGCAAAGAUGAUCAGAUACCGUUGUAGUCCWCUACUGUAAACUAUGUCAGUCAGGUUCCGAUUGUGCACUGCAAGGCAUAUGACUCAAACGGAAUCCCUUCCUAAACGAGAAAUCCAGAACCUAUGGAUUCAGGGGGGAGUACUGUCGCAAGGCUGAAACUUAAAGGAAUUGACGGAGUGACACCACAAGGUGUGGAGUAUGCGGCUUAAUUUGACUCAACACGGGGAACCUUACCAGGUCAGGACGCAGUUAGGAUUGACAGACUGUGAGCUCUUUCUUGAUCCUGUGGAGGGUGGUGCAUGGCCGUUCUUAGUUCGUGGAUUGGUCUGUCUGGUUAAUUCCGUAAACGAACGAGAACUCUACCUUCCAAUAGACCUUCAUCUCGUUGUAAUGGCUUGUCCUGCGAUGUAGUUUACUAUGUUGUCUGGAGCUUGUCCAGAGAGUUUGAGGUGCUUCUGCAAGGGACUGUGUGACGUCAAGCACACUGAGGUUAGAGUCAACAGCAGGUCUGUGAUGCUCCUAAAUGUCCUGGGCUGCACGCGCACUACACUGGCAAGGACACUUAGCUGAACCAGCUCCGGCUGGUCCUUCUCCGUGAGGAGUGGGUAACCUGUUAACCCUCAAUUAGUCAUGUUUGAGCCGUGUCAGGGAUAGAUGUUUGCAAUUAUCCACCUUGAACGAGGAAUACCUAGUAAGCAUAGGUCAUCAGCCUAUAUUGAUUACGUCCCUGCCACUUGUACACACCGCCCGUCGUUGCUACUGAUGGUAUGGUAACAGAGGCUGGAAGAGAGACGCUUUCUCUCGAGUUGGCUGUCUCAAAUCCAUCCAAUGUUGUCAUGCUAGAAGAAGCAAAAGUCGUAACAAGGUUGCUGUAGGUGA